RNAcentral lists this ribosomal RNA (389 nucleotides) under uncultured bacterium. RNAcentral describes it as "bacterial SSU rRNA". It matches the Rfam family "Bacterial small subunit ribosomal RNA", at positions 28 to 418 of the family's 1533-position model. The record is from RNAcentral.
GACGAACGCUGGCGGCGUGCUUAACACAUGCAAGUCGAGCGGUAAGGCUCCUUCGGGAGUACACGAGCGGCGAACGGGUGAGUAACACGUGAGCAAUCUGCCCUUCACUUUGGGAUAAGCACCGGAAACGGUGUCUAAUACCGAAUACGACCACUUCCGGCAUCGGAUGGUGGUGGAAAGUUCCGGCGGUGAAGGAUGAGCUCGCGGCCUAUCAGCUUGUUGGUGGGGUAACGGCCCACCAAGGCUUCGACGGGUAGCCGGCCUGAGAGGGUGACCGGCCACACUGGGACUGAGACACGGCCCAGACUCCUACGGGAGGCAGCAGUGGGGAAUAUUGGACAAUGGGCGAAAGCCUGAUCCAGCAACGCCGCGUGAGGGAUGACGGCCUC